AGUACGCAGGAAGCAUGUGGAGCGGUGACUGUAAUGCUGCUAGUGCUGACUGUACUUGCUGCUCCCUACUCUUCUUCUGGGCCUCUCGCUGCACUGUGUCCUGACUGCGUGUAGUGUCAGGACGUAGCGCACGUAGGCAUGCACUUAUGACCUGACUUUGUGCGUCGUCAUUUUACAGUGCAGCACAGGGCCUGGAAGAUGAUUAGGGAGUGGUGAGUGCAGGAAGAGCGCUCGGUCCAGAGCAGGAGAGGUGAGUUCCUUUUAUAUAUUUUAUAUCUGAUCUGAGGUCUGAUGAGGAUUGGGGUGGAGCGGUCUGAUCUGCGGUCUAAUAAAGUUGGGGGUUUGGUUCUGAUCUGAGGUCUGAAAGUUUAGGGGUCUGAUCUGAGGUCAGAUGAAAAGUAUUUUUUUUCUUAUUUUCCUCCUCUAAAACCUAGGUGCAUCUUUAUAAAGUGAAAAAUACAGUAAUUGACAAAAUGUUAAGGUACUCACCUUGGACAGAAAUAAAGAUAUCUAUGUUGAACUCAUAUUUCUGAAAACAAGUUGGUUUUCUUUGGUUAACAGUAAUAGUGUAUGUUACAGGAAAAUGAACAUUUAGAUUCUUGCUCCUCUUCUUUACUGCCUAACAAAUGAUGAUACAAGAGGAUACAGUUCAUGUCUAUAGGAAGUAUGGCUGGAACAUGACAGUGCUGUCACUUUCUGCUCACCUAUAGCUGCUCAUCCUAGUAACUAUUCCUAAAUUUUUCUCUUACGGCAAUUGGAAACUGAGGUUUUUAUGAUGCAAAUUGUGCUAAGAAAUAAGCAAAGCAAGUCUGCAGAGCCUUUUAAUGUUAGACUUGUUUUAGGCUGUUCCAUGUCCCCUGUUGCAGGUGAAGAGAACAGUUGUUAGAAGUGCCAAAAAGAAAUCCUCCCUAAAACUUGCUGCUGUUAAUCCCUGAUGUGACACACAUUAUUAACUCGAAGACUUGUCAAAUAUACAAGAGUAAUAUGAUUUUCAGAUGUUUCAUGAUCAGCUAUGGAUGUCAUUACUGCAAAGUGGAAGCGUAUAAGACCACAGCAACUCAGACCAGGUAAAGUUAUAGAAUUGGGUCAUCGAGUGCUGAGGCACCAACGCUCUGCUGACUCAAUAACCUCUGGAAUUAACCUCCUGUUAGCCAGCAGGUUUUCAUAGCUGAGCAACUUUAAUGUAAGCCUUACAUCACCAAACACUGGAUAGAGUGGAACACUGAACUCUGGAACAGUGCUCUGUAAAUAUGGAAAUAUGUUCUGUGGUGUGACAAAACAACACUUUACUAUCUGGCAGUCUGAUGGACGAGUCUGUAUUUGGCAAAUGCUUGGAGAACGUUACCUGUGUGACAGCAUUGUGCCAACUGUAAAGUUUGGUGGAAGAGGUAUAUUGCUGUGAGAUUUAUAUUUCAGGGGUGGGCCUAAGCCCCUAAUUUCACUGGAAUUCUUAGAGCUUAUUCGGGAAUUAAUAUUGAUGAUGUUUAUAGGUCCUCAAUAUUUCCCGGAUUAACCCUUGAAUAUGUCGGCAUACAAUAGACAAUUGUAUACUUCAGACUUUGUGGGAACAGUUUGGGGAAGACACUUUUUUUUUUUGUUCCAGUGUGACUGUACUCCUGUGCACAAAGCAGAGUUUGGUGUGGAAGAACAUGACUAACCCAUACAGAGCAAUGAACUCCAUCCUCUUGAACACCUUUGGGAUGAACUAGAACAGAGAUUGUAAUCCAGGCCCUCUCUUCCAACAUCAGUGUCAGACAUCACAUCUCUUCUGGCUGAAUGGGCAAACCUUCUCAAACACACCAAAAUCUUGUAGAAAGCCUUCUCAGAAGAGUGGAAGCACUUCAUAAAUGUGUCACAAAAGUGAUCUACACUGAAAUUCUGGCCAAAUUUUCACUCCAAAUCUGUAGGUGGCGCUGGAAUGCACAGUGCUGAUUAAGUCGCAAAAUGUAUGUGCAGAUGGCCCUAAAAAGUUGUAAAGCCCCUAACUGCAACAUUGAUAAAUUCCCUCCAAAAAGUUUAACUUUUUAGUUCUGGGAUCCAUUUUAAAUUUGUUUAGCUUGGCACUCUGCCUUAAAUGCCGAAAUGUUGUCUGAGACCUGAUGCGAGAAAUUGUACAUAGUAUGUUCUAUCUUUGUUACACCAGUUCUUAAUUUGUCUUUUUGUUUUUACAGGUUCUUGAAUUUGACAUUUUAAAGGAGUGGCGUAUUCUAUGCGCAGGUCAGAGGAGAAAGCUACUGCAAAAAGUGGCUGUGGAGGACUCUCCUUGUGCACAAUAAUACAAUGCUUAUUGCUGCAGGACAAAUAUGUGUCAGUCCGCAGUUUUCACUGGCAAAAACAGUUCACUCUUCAUUGAGGUUUUUGCCAAAUCCCAUUCACAUGCUGCAGAAAGAUUUUUUAUUUUUGUGGAAAUUGACUUUUUUUUUUUUAAUCCUUAUAUCACUUGUUUCUGAUUUUCACCAUGUAUUUUACCCUCUGCUGUAUGAAUGAGAUC
Molecule: long non-coding RNA, 2491 nt
Organism: Bufo bufo (common toad)
Lineage: Eukaryota; Metazoa; Chordata; Amphibia; Anura; Bufonidae
Exons: 3
Source: RefSeq, a predicted model, not a curated record